UACACACGUGCUACAAUGGCCGGUACAAAGAGUUGCGAUACCGCGAGGUGGAGCUAAUCUCAUAAAGCCGGUCUCAGUUCGGAUUGGAGUCUGCAACUCGACUCCAUGAAGUUGGAAUCGCUAGUAAUCGCGGAUCAGCACGCCGCGGUGAAUACCGUUCCCGGGCCUU
Molecule: ribosomal RNA, 169 nt
Filed under: uncultured Geobacter sp.
Lineage: Bacteria; Pseudomonadati; Thermodesulfobacteriota; Desulfuromonadia; Geobacterales; Geobacteraceae
Description: partial 16S ribosomal RNA
Rfam family: Bacterial small subunit ribosomal RNA
Source: RNAcentral